AUUGAACGCUGGCGGCAGGCCUAACACAUGCAAGUCGAACGGUAAUAGGAAGCAGCUUGCUGCUUUGCUGACGAGUGGCGGACGGGUGAGUAAUGUCUGGGAAACUGCCUGAUGGAGGGGGAUAACUACUGGAAACGGUAGCUAAUACCGCAUAACGUCGCAAGACCAAAGAGGGGGACCUUCGGGCCUCUUGCCAUCUGAUGUGCCCAGAUGGGAUUAGCUAGUAGGUGGGGUAACGGCUCACCUAGGCGACGAUCCCUAGCUGGUCUGAGAGGAUGACCAGCCACACUGGAACUGAGACACGGUCCAGACUCCUACGGGAGGCAGCAGUGGGGAAUAUUGCACAAUGGGCGCAAGCCUGAUGCAGCCAUGCCGCGUGUAUGAAGAAGGCCUUCGGGUUGUAAAGUACUUUCAGCGGGGAGGAAGGGAGUAAAGUUAAUACCUUUGCUCAUUGACGUUACCCGCAGAAGAAGCACCGGCUAACUCCGUG
Molecule: ribosomal RNA, 490 nt
Filed under: uncultured bacterium
Lineage: Bacteria
Description: partial 16S ribosomal RNA
Rfam family: Bacterial small subunit ribosomal RNA
Source: RNAcentral